UCUCCGUAGGUGAACCUGCGGAGGGAUCAUUACCAGUACAACCACGCCUCCGGGCGCGGUCUACUACCAACCCUUUGUCAUCCGACCGCGUUGCCUCCGGGUGCGACCCUGACCUCCGGGUCUCGCGUCUCCCCGGGUGGACAUACCUAAAACUCUGCAUAACUUUGUAGUCUGAGUAAACAUUUUAAUUAAAUUAAAACUUUCAACAACGGAUCUCUUGGUUCUGGCAUCGAUGAAGAACGCAGC
This 246-nucleotide unclassified non-coding RNA is filed under the name uncultured fungus. RNAcentral describes it as "sequence contains ITS1, 5.8S rRNA gene". The stretch from base 198 to 246 matches the Rfam family "5.8S ribosomal RNA", at positions 1 to 49 of the family's 154-position model. Lineage: Eukaryota; Fungi. The record is from RNAcentral.